RNAcentral lists this long non-coding RNA (2025 nucleotides) under Taeniopygia guttata (zebra finch). Its description in RNAcentral is "lncRNA (ENSTGUG00000025445.1)". The record is from RNAcentral. Lineage: Eukaryota; Metazoa; Chordata; Aves; Passeriformes; Estrildidae.
UCUGGUGGUGGUGGUACCCAAGUUUGGGGUUUUUUUUAGGAUCUCCUUUCUCCCUCUUUAUUUGGAUUUUAUAUUUCACAUGGACCCUUAUCUGGGCAUCUUCUUCCUCACUCCCUUCUUCCAGUCCUGCUAUGCCUGGUGAGUAUCAAGAGCAUCACAGUCUGUGUCACAGGCAGGUGCUCUUCCCAGAUACCCUAAGGAAAUUCCUCUUCACCUUCCUAAAUGUCUCCUCUUUCUCACUUACCUCAGUUCUCUCUUUAAUGGAAUAGAUAUUUAACCAAAUCCCUACACACUCACUAGCAGAGAGAUUAGAUCUAUGAAAGUCUCUCUUUUCCCCUGCACCUUCCAAAAAUAACUAGGGGCCAGGUUGUAAGCUGGGGUAAAAUAGGGGAGAGUGGAUGCUGAGACCUAGCCCCUCACUUUCAAGUGGGAAGAUAACCCAAUGGAAGAGUCAGAGACUUCUGUUCUUCCAAAGGCUCCCAGUCAGCUCGUCUCUUGUCUUAAUUAAAUCAAGCGGGGCUUCUCUCACACUCCCCAAAGAGGACAGUCCGUGAUUAAGAGCUCAGAGCCCACAGGGGUGAGUUAGAUCCACGGGAGUGUCACUCUGGAUGAGCAGCCUGACAGCCAAGCUCCUUGGCACACACAGGGGCAGAAUUACUUGUCUGAAAUUCAUGUAUUAGGGUUUCCUGGGGAGCUGCUUUUGCUACAGCAAUUGCUACAGCUCAGUUUCCAACCACCUGAGUCCCAUCAAACCAGUUCUGCUGUGCACAGAUCUGUGGCCAUUUCCCGUGGACCUCUUGCUUUGUCCUGAGGGCAGUGUUAUAUUUAUUUCUUAAAAGUUCUUUAAGGGUGAACAGAAAGAGAUUAUGCUUGCAUCAAAUCUUGUAUCAUUCCUCGUGGGAUAUAUCAGUCCCAUUCCCAAAGCGAAAUGGUCUCUGCAGGUAUUUUUCCUAUGUGAUUUUUACUGAGUACCCAAAAUUUUUUUCUCAGUUGCUGUGAUGCCCUGGGGAAUCUGCUCAGCGGGUUACAGACUUAUCUCUAAGGGCAAGGAAAGUAUCUUACCACUCAAUUACUAAAAUCCCCUGCCUUCUCCAUAGCAGAUCUCUAGGGCUAUUACCACGGAUGGAGAAAAAGAGAAACUAAAGAGUAAAUGGGAACUCAUUCCUGUUAGUGUGGAAUUUCAGAUUUUCUACUCCCCUCAUUAAAACAAUACGCAACAAUUUGUAUAUAUCUAAAUACUAUAAAACAGCAAACUCAAGAUAAACCUCCCUUCUGGAACAAGGGUAAUAUGUAUGUUCUACAGAAAGGCUACGCAAGAACUUAUGCUGAUUUUAUUGUUAUUUUUCUGCUCUUCCUAUGUACUUGUCUUGCUUUCCUCAAUAAAAACAGGUUUAGAAUACAUUAAAAGAAAAAACCCUAACAUUUUAAAGAAACAGUUAAAAGGAGAGAAAUUUCAGCACACAAAGAGCUAAAUAUGGAAAUCCAAGAUAUUUUCAGUCCAAAGUUGGAUGUUUAAAUUCCCUGUCUCUCAGAAGUUUUUAUCUAAGAGAAAAGUUUAUAGAUCAAGACAACCCCGCUUCUCUCUGUAUGUUGCUAAUAGGUCAUGAGUUCCAUAGAGAAAGGAAAAUUGCAACCUUUAUUUGAAAUUAUCAUUUUGCAGACACUGUCCCUUAACUCUUGAGGAGAAAAAAGACAAAUUUGUGGGAAUCGUAAAAUAAUUCUGCCUGAAUUUUUUGCUGGUUUUCUCUAUCUCAUCCAACUAUUUAAAAAACAUUAUUUUUUUCCUGUGAUUUAAUCACAAGAAUUGGGAGUGGGAGCAUAGGGGGGAGCCGUAUAGAACAACAACAAAAAAUGGUUUUAUAUAUAUAUGUGGCCACUUCCCUUCUUUGCAUGUGGAUUAGCUUUUACCAUUUAAUGGACCAUUCAACCAGUGUAUUAUUUCUAGGUGAUCAAAAUGUCAGGGUUGCAUUUAGGAACAAAAUCCUCAAAAUAAAUAUAACGAAAUAGAGAAAAAUGAAGGAAAAA